CUCUGUUCAUCAUUCCUUAGACCUAAGGAUACCUUAAGUUCAGAAAUCAUAAUGUCCAUCACUACGGGGAGCUGUUUCCACUCAGUUUCCAAAGGUGGGCCUAAUACACCUGGAAAGACACAGACAAUAAGCAAAUCCAGCCCUCUUCAUAGAACUUGACAUCUUGGUUCUGGAUUGUGGCCCAUUAUGACUGCCUCCAUGGGCAACUCUGCAUUCUUUCUAUGGCCUCUGGCUUCCGUAUUCUCUGGGCGCUUACUGUGAAGAGAAGGAAUCAAAAUUGGCCUACUGCCCCCACAAACCAUACUUGAAGACAAAGCAUUGCCUGGCCUUCUACGAGAUGGCCCUGUUCCUAGCAUCUGAGUUUCCUUGUAGGAACUAUCUCCCCUGUUUACAUAGUGAAGGAACUAAUGCAGAUAUGGAUAGGGCUGGGAUUAUAGCAGAGCUAAGUUAUGACAGACUGGUUUUUUUGUUUUGUUUUUGUGAACAUCUUUUUGCCAUUUCCGGCCACCUCCCUUCCUCUGGAAACAUGCCGAUUUCAGCAAGUCCAGCCUAUCAGUUCUGCCUUCUAAAUCCAUUGGUUCAUGGUCAUCUGAGAGCACUUCUGUCACAUACAGGAGCUGCUGCCCUCACCCUCCAGACACACUUGCAGCUGAAGCUGAAUAUUGCUACUCUGGGGUUUCCUUCCAGCCUUAAAUUUCAGUUCAAUAUCUUCAGCUGCCCAGGUCAUGGCUCUGCUACUCUCCUUGAUCCUUGGUGAGUAUCUCUGCUCCUGUUGGCUUAGACUCCAGAGUUUUCUCGGAUUUUGAUCAGGACAAUCUUCCACUUGCCAAGCCUGCACAGAUUCCAUUCUUCCAAGGCAGUUGCAAACCAGAACUCACGGAGUCUGAGUGUGGGCAUGUCCUGAAGAGUAAGGGCCUGGGGCUAUUGAGGAAUUCCUUGGAAACCAAGAAAAGAAAGUAUCCCAGGACAAGCCACUGAGAUACUUGGAUUUGCCUGAAAAACUCUAGAGUGGAAGGUCAAAGCCAUUUGCACUGGACCUGGCCUCAUAGAGUCUUCAUACAGAGCGCGACUGGUGGGAGGCUCCCACCGCUGUGA
Molecule: long non-coding RNA, 1095 nt
Organism: Loxodonta africana (African savanna elephant)
Lineage: Eukaryota; Metazoa; Chordata; Mammalia; Proboscidea; Elephantidae
Exons: 4
Source: RefSeq, a predicted model, not a curated record